AGCCCCGUGGUGUAGUGGCCAAUCAUCCAAGCCUUUGGAGCUUGGGACCUCGGUUCGAAUCCGGGCGGGGCUA
This 73-nucleotide transfer RNA is filed under the name Candidatus Woesearchaeota archaeon. Its description in RNAcentral is "tRNA-Gln". It matches the Rfam family "tRNA". From Rfam's summary of the family: Transfer RNA (tRNA) molecules are approximately 80 nucleotides in length. Their secondary structure includes four short double-helical elements and three loops (D, anti-codon, and T loops). Lineage: Archaea; Nanobdellati; Candidatus Woesearchaeota. The record is from RNAcentral.